Long non-coding RNA from Vicia villosa (hairy vetch), 5033 nucleotides. RefSeq lists it as uncharacterized. The record is from RefSeq and is a predicted model, not a curated record. Lineage: Eukaryota; Viridiplantae; Streptophyta; Magnoliopsida; Fabales; Fabaceae. The transcript has 4 exons.
UAAAAUAUAUUAACAUAGAGAAUAGAUAAAGGAAAACCUAAUCGUGUGUUCCAAUCUUAACCUCUGUUUCUCUCUCUCGCCGUCGUGAAUCGCUCCGGGGUUUCCAGCCACCAGAAUGCUCCUGCAUCUUCGUGAGUCCUCCGUCUCCGUCUAUUCUCCAUCGUGAGUCCUCUCCUUCGAAUGCUCCUGCAUCUUCGUGAAUCAUCUCCGUCAAGCGCUUUGGCAACAUCGUGAAUCAUCGUUAUCGACUGUGUCACAUCCAUUCGUUCAUCUCAAUUCUAGGGUUGCUUCAGCGCGUUUUGUUACGUGGAUUAUAGUGUAAAUACUCAUUCUUCUCCCCUACUUCACUCCAUUUUAACCCUGGGUUCUUUGUUUCAGAGUUGAUAAAUAGUAGAUUCGAUGUUGAUGGUGAUGAGGUUAUCUAGACAAAACAGAGGACAGAAGGAAAAGAUGAUUGAAGACUUGAUCCAUACAUAAUCCAGUUAUGAGAUGACAAGAGUUUCAGCAAUGCAGGUUAUUUAUCAGGGAUUAGUUGUUGAUAGAUCGAUCACUUUCGUGAGUCAGGAGACUACGCUCUUCAGUUGUGAUGUUUGCUUGAUUUUUGAAGACUGUAAUAUCAGUUUUGAUAGGAACCAAGUUUGAUGAUUUCAUUCAGCUCCAUAUUGAUGCAAAUCUGGCCCUAACACAAGGGUGUAUAGGAGCCACCGCAUUAGAUGAAUAUAGGAAGCACAUCGAAAAAGAUCCCGCUUUAGAGAGGCGAUUCCAACCAGUUAAAGUGCCUGAACCAACUGUGAGUGAAACCAUACAAAUUUUGAAAGGGCUAAGAGAGCGCUAUGAGAUUCACCACAAGCUCCGUUAUACCGAUGAUGCUUGUGUAGCUGCUGCAGAGCUCUCACAUCAAUAUAUCAGGUUUGUCAUAAAAUCUAUUAAUGAUUAUACUAUAAGCACGAUAUAUUUUAUUGUUGUAAUUUCUAAUUUCUACCUCUUUUAAUUUGCACUCUUGAAUAUAAGAUCAUUGGCAGCACUGUCAUUAGCUGCGGAUUGCCUCGGUUGCAAAUGCUAUGGGAAGCUAUUUUGUUCACUAGAGAAUUUUCAGAUGAUUUCGAGUUUUUUUCUGAUGAUGUUGAGUUAUUUGACUGAUUAUUUUAGUUGAGCUAUAAUUUGGCAAUUUAUUGGUGUUUAAUUGGUUUAGUAGUGUGUUAACUUCUUCUUGAUUGGUGUAUAAAUUUGAUUGUGUACAAAGUAGAUACUUUUUUAGGUAAAGGAAUGUGACUUUUCUCCAUUUUAGCAGUGGUUUCCGAUAACAGUUCCAAUCAUGUUUGUGAUAGUUGAUGUUGUGGCAGCUUCGAUUUUGAAUGAAGUAGAUGCUUUUUUUAGAAAAAGGAAUGUGACUUUUCUCCAAUUUAGAAGUGGUUUUCGGUAACAGUUUCAAUCAUGUUUGUGAUAGUCAUAACUCUACUAACACUUGGAUCAUCAAGUAUAGAGAUUAUGAGCUGCUCAACUUCAAUCUUCAAGGCCAGAAUAUGCUGCUGCUGAUUCUCGAUUAUUCCGUGCCGUAGGUAUUGCAGUAGUAGCGUUUUUGUAUCCCUCCAACUAUACUCACUCAGGAUAUUGGUUUUCAUCAAUAGGUAUGCCUCACACUUUUGUAACACUUAUUUACUUAUGAAUUUCGAAUAUUAUGUCUAAACUUAUGCUUUGAGUCCUAAUAUUUUUAGCACAGGAAUUUAUCUGCUAGCAAAAUUUGAAGCUGUUUCCUUCCCUUCGACAAUUCACUAACAGGAAAGGAAGAAGUAUGUAUUUCCUUCCCUUUUGUUUUUGAAGUUUGAAUUGACAAACUAACAGUUCGUGUUAUUUUCUUGUAUAUCAAACUAGAGUUCAAACCGUUAUGUCAAUAUUCUUCUAAGUUUGAAUUGCAAGGUAUUUAUUAUAUUUAUGAACAAUUCGUUGUCUAAAUUUGUUCAACUAGAAGGAUAACUAAUAAAUAAUUUUUUGAUGGAGGGAUAGUUAAGACGUAGGAAUCUCACUUUUUGAUAUGGUUUGAAAGUAACAGUACUACAUGUCCAUGUCCAUGUCUUAAGAGUAUUCCUGGAUGAGAUUUGGUUUGAAAGCGUUAAAGCCAGUUUUGAAGAAAUGUUUCCAAUUUAAAUUCAAAAAAUUAUUAGAGUUCAAUAAUUAUAUAUAAACAAUAUAAAAUAAAUUAUACACUAAAAAACUAUGAAAUUUUUAAUGAGUUUAUAGUUAUGGUGUAUGGAAUUUGACUUGCAUUUUGUUUUGUAAUAGGUAAUGUGACCUUUGAGGAAGAGUGGAACAAUUUAUCUAGUAAUCAUGAAAGAGUAACAAUCAAAAAAGUAUGUCCUGUUUGUCCCAGUUGCUGAACUUUUGGGUAACAUUUCUACUGGUUUUUUUACCCUCGUUAUGAAUCUGAUAUGGGCGUGUGUUUACUUGGUUGGCCAUAUUUGGUACUGUUAUGAGAUUGUUGUGUUAUCUAUACUUGGUACUGUUAUGGGGCUGUUGUGUUAUCUAUAUUUGGUUCUACUUAGUAGAAUUUUUUGUAUCUUAGUGAGUUUUUGUGCUUGAGUCAUUUUCCUGCCAUAUGGUGGCUUGACAGAGUUGGGUUAGAUAUGAAAUGAAUGUUGGAUGAUUGUUGGAAAUGUGAGGAUCUACCGUUAUUACCGGCACUUUUCAUUUUAGUUUAAGACUUUUCUUUUCCUGGAGUUCCUUUUCUAAUUUCUAGUCUUUGGGAUGGAUUUUAAUAUAUUAUCAGCAAGGGAUCUGGUGUCCUUAGGGUGCCUAAGACAGUGGAUGUCGAGAUUAUGACAAUGAUGUUACGUAAUUAUGUCAUAUGGUGGCUUGACAGUUGGGUUAGAUAUAAAAUGAAUGUUUGAAAUGUGAGGAUAAGACUUUUCUUUUCCUGGAGUUCCUUUUCUAAUUUCUAGUCUUUGGGAUGGAUUUUAAUAUAUUAUCAGCAAAGGAUCUGGUGUUGGUAGGGUGCCUAAGGCAGUGGGUGUCGAGAUAAUGUGGCAAUGAUGUUACGCAAUUAGUUUAUGCAGUAAUAGAUAAUUGUUAAUGACCUGCAUGCAGUCCAACACCACAUGGUACACCCCUCCCUGUAAUACUGCUAGGGGAGCAAAUAUUAAUAUAGAUAAUUUUUUUUUAUUUUAAAAAUAUAUUACCUGCGGAAUUACCUGCGCAUUUUUUCCUGCGGAUUUAGCUGCGGAAUUACCUGCGGAACUUCCUGCCGAAAAUAUUACCCACGAAGGUUUUAGCUGGGGACAUAAAACCGCAGGAAAAUCCGCAGGUAACGUGUUUCCUGCGGAAAUUUAGCUAAAAUCCGCAGGUAAAUCCGCAGGAAAUUUGAGUAUUUCUAGUAGUGUGAUGUCUAUUACCAUGUAUUGGCUGUGAGUCAAUGUGUUGUAACAAAUGUAAAAAGUUAUUCGGUGAGCAUCCAUAUUUUUGUCCUAUUUAAACUAUGGUGUAGGAAUUAUUUAUUAAAAAAUUUCAUUUAGUUCGGCACGUAGGUUGAUAGAAACUUACAUAAAUAAUGAUACUAGUACUUGUGAAAAUUUUGUCAUAUUGUCUUCCAAUUUCUAACCAACACUAAUCAGAAACCCGUGCUGCCGCACGGGUAAUUGAAUUUUUUUUAUUAUGUAAAUCAUUAUAUAAAGGGUUAAAUAUACAAACCCCCCUGUAAUGUUAGCGAGAUUAGGUUUUAGCCCCUGUAAAAAAAAUUUUUUUGAUCCCCCCCUUAACAUCUUUAGAUUCCAUCCCCAGACCCCCCUAAUUGCCACGGUUGCACUUAGAUUCCCCUAAGAUUCUAUAUUAUAUCACACGUGGAAUUUUUGUCAUCUUAAUAUCCACCAUGGCAUUUCAUCAUCUUCUCAAAUUACAUUAUAUUUGUAAACGAAGAAACUAGGGUUCCUCCAUUGUUCCUCUCCUCGUAUCAUUCCUCCGUCGCUGCUUCACCGUUAAUCUCACAACAUGGGUAGCAAAUCUUCCUCCGUAGGAAACUCCGGUUGCAAAUCUCCUUCGCUGCUUCAUCGUUCCCAAGCUCCACCUCACUGUAGUUGUAACAUAACCAUGAAGAUGUGGGUAUCAAACACCAUUGAUAACCCUAAACGCAAAUUCUGGAAAUGCAGAAAUGUACUGGUAAGUUCAUUCACGUUUUUUUUAUUUGCUCUGUUUGCUGUGCGAUAAAGGUUGCUUGUAAUUUGCAGAAUGGAUGCGGUAUGUUCAUAUGGGAUGAUGAGCUGGGUGAAUUCAAUAAUGUCGAGGUGAUUCAAUGUAAAUGCACUGAAAUGACAAAAGAUGCGUUGAAAGAGAUUUUGAAGGACAUUGCCACUGACAAUUUGGAAGCAGACACAAGUAAUGAGAAGAUUUCGAGGUUGAAGAAAAAAGUUGCAAUGGAGAAGAAGAAGAACCAUAACAUGAUGGUUGCACUUGUUAUGUCUUGGAUGUUUUUUGCAGCAUUUUAUAUGUUUCUGUAAUUUAGUUUAGGGAAUGUAUGUUGUUUGUGGUAUGUAACUUUUGUAUAACUUGUAUCACUUCUAUCACUUGUAUAACUUUUGUUGUAUCACUUUUGUGGUAUGUAACAAUUUGAGCUUGAAUGGAAUGAAUGAGUCUAUUAUCAGUUUUCUAUAAAGAUUUGCAAAUAAUAUGAAGUAAUUAUGAGAUUAGAUAACAUUUGAGGAAAUUGAUCCAAAAAACAAUUACAAAUGUUAUAGGUCAUUACCCUAAAAGUCAGGUAGAUCAUUACCCAAAAAACCAUUACAAAUGGCCACAAAACAAAAUACCACCACACAAAAUAUCAUAGGACAUAGUACCAUUACUAAACCAUUACAAGUUAACUUAAUGUCAAUUGGUACAAAAUACACAAAAUAAUCAACUGCUCUUUUGUUUCUUCCAUUUCUUCAAAGACCUAGUUGACACUCCAAGGCUUGAUGAUGUCUCUGCAGGGUCUUCAAUUGUGAUUGGUUGCUCAGAUGAACCUGGACCAAUAAUUGGUUUCUUGAACCAACUUAAUUUGACUCUUUCAC